GACGAACGCUGGCGGCGUGCCUAAUACAUGCAAGUCGAGCGAAGUUUUUCUGGUGCUUGCCCUAGAAAAACUUAGCGGCGAACGGGUGAGUAACACGUAAAGAACCUGCCUCAUAGACUGGGACAACUAUUGGAAACGAUAGCUAAUACCGGAUAACAGUAUUUCUCGCAUGAGAGAUAUUUAAAAGUUGGUUAUGCUAACACUAUGAGAUGGCUUUGCGGUGCAUUAGCUAGUUGGUGGGGUAAAGGCCCACCAAGGCGACGAUGCAUAGCCGACCUGAGAGGGUGAUCGGCCACACUGGGACUGAGACACGGCCCAGACUCCUACGGGAGGCAGCAGGAGGGAAUCUUCCGCAAUGGGCGAAAGCCUGACGGAGCAACGCCGCGUGAGUGAAGAAGGAUUUCGGUUCGUAAAGCUCUGUUGUUAGGGAAGAAUGGAUAUGUAGUAACUAUACAUGUAAGAGACGGUACCUAACCAGAAAGCCACGGCUAACUACGU
This 498-nucleotide ribosomal RNA is filed under the name uncultured bacterium. RNAcentral's name for it is "partial 16S ribosomal RNA". It matches the Rfam family "Bacterial small subunit ribosomal RNA", at positions 28 to 506 of the family's 1533-position model. The record is from RNAcentral.